This 76-nucleotide transfer RNA is filed under the name Phycisphaerales bacterium. RNAcentral's name for it is "tRNA-Thr". It matches the Rfam family "tRNA". From Rfam's summary of the family: Transfer RNA (tRNA) molecules are approximately 80 nucleotides in length. Their secondary structure includes four short double-helical elements and three loops (D, anti-codon, and T loops). The record is from RNAcentral. Lineage: Bacteria; Pseudomonadati; Planctomycetota; Phycisphaerae; Phycisphaerales.
GCCGAGAUAGCUCAGUUGGUAGAGCAACUCACUCGUAAUGAGUAGGUCGUCGGUUCGAGUCCGAUUCUCGGCUCCA